UACGUAGGGGCAAGCGUUGUCCGGAAUCAUUGGGCGUAAAGAGCGUGUAGGCGGCCCGGUAAGUCCGCUGUGAAAGUCGAGGGCUCAACCCUCGAAUGCCGGCGGAUACUGUCGGGCUAGAGUCCGGAAGAGGCGAGUGGAAUUCCUAGUGUAGCGGUGAAAUGCGUAGAGAUUAGGAAGAACACCAGUGGCGAAGGCGACUUACUGGACUGUAACUGACGCUGAGGCAUGAAAGCGUGGGGAGCAAACAGGG
RNAcentral lists this ribosomal RNA (253 nucleotides) under uncultured bacterium. RNAcentral's name for it is "partial 16S ribosomal RNA". It matches the Rfam family "Bacterial small subunit ribosomal RNA", at positions 524 to 777 of the family's 1533-position model. The record is from RNAcentral.